This is a long non-coding RNA of Antechinus flavipes (yellow-footed antechinus), 698 nucleotides long. RefSeq lists it as uncharacterized. The record is from RefSeq and is a predicted model, not a curated record. The transcript has 4 exons. Lineage: Eukaryota; Metazoa; Chordata; Mammalia; Dasyuromorphia; Dasyuridae.
AAGAUUACUGCUACUUAAAGAGUAAUUUUUAGAAGGGAAUUCACCAGCUACUUUUCAGGAGUUGUUUUGAGCUGCAAGACGAACCACAAAGGAGAGUAACCUUGGAUUCUGAGCAGAACAGAAAAGGAACAAGAAUGAAGGAAUAAUGCUAAUGCCCCCUAUUAAGAGCCCUCCAGAAAUGUAGAAAGGAUCUUUGGCUGAGGAAUUGGGAGAGGAGAUGCCUUAGGACCAUCCCCAGUGGUGCUGACCUAUGUUUUGCCACUAGACUCUGAAUGACUGGAGGAGAGAAUGAAGCUGAUGACUUUGCACGGCCCUGUCUCCCUUAAAUCUAUUUUACAUGAUGAAAUUAAACAAAGGUGUGUCGAUAUUCCAUUCCACCUAAAGAGAUUUGGUUCAGGAGUUCUCAGUGAUAUAAAAGGAGUUUAUCCUAAAAAGACAGUUAUCCAUUUUCAUGAAGAAAUGAACAAACAAAAACAAAGAAAAAUCAACAAAACUGUUGGGGGAAAACAGUGUUGAAAAAAAUCUUUUCACUUACAGUCUCCAGUUACAAAAAAAAAAAAAAGUGUGGGAAUUGUCUUUUCAUUUCUCUUCUUUGGGUGUUGCUUGUUUUAUAUAAUUUCAGUUUUUAUUAUGUUGUUUUUUCCAUUCAUAUUGUUCAAGACAUUGUAUUGUGGUUUUCCUGAUUCUGCUUAUUUUUU